This 74-nucleotide transfer RNA is filed under the name Propionibacteriaceae bacterium. Its description in RNAcentral is "tRNA-Ile". It matches the Rfam family "tRNA". From Rfam's summary of the family: Transfer RNA (tRNA) molecules are approximately 80 nucleotides in length. Their secondary structure includes four short double-helical elements and three loops (D, anti-codon, and T loops). Further hydrogen bonds mediate the characteristic L-shaped molecular structure. tRNAs have two regions of fundamental functional importance: the anti-codon, which is responsible for specific mRNA codon recognition, and the 3' end, to which the tRNAs corresponding amino acid is attached (by aminoacyl-tRNA synthetases). tRNAs cope with the degeneracy of the genetic code in two manners: having more than one tRNA (with a specific anti-codon) for a particular amino acid; and 'wobble' base-pairing, i.e. permitting non-standard base-pairing at the 3rd anti-codon position. The record is from RNAcentral. Lineage: Bacteria; Bacillati; Actinomycetota; Actinomycetes; Propionibacteriales; Propionibacteriaceae.
GGGGCGGUAGCUCAGCUGGUCAGAGCAGGGGACUCAUAAUCCCUUGGUCCGGGGUUCGAGCCCCCGCCGCCCUA